UAUGAUCAUAUUAUUGCUAUGAUAAUUAAAUCUUAUAUUUUAAGAAGUGGGUGGGGUCGGUUACAAAGCUAUCCCCAAAAAGGCCAAAAGAGGGGUUGUGAUUGUGGGGCCCAUAGUCCUUUUUCUUAUUUUUUUUGGGUGAUAAGACUAAUGCUCUUUACAAAGCAAAAACUUAAAAAAAAAAAAAAUUGCCCUAAAAGCAACUUCCCAUGAAAGCAAUUAUAGCCUCCCCUCAUGAAAGCAACGUCCCACUUACCCUUUUUAUUUUUCUCUCUCCUCUCUCUCUCUCUCAAGACAUGAAGUAUGAUUCUCUCCAUUUUAUAUUAUUAUCUCUUUCUAUCGAUUACUUUCACAUUCCUCUUUUUAUCUUAUUUUCUGUAUAAAAAAUUUAAAAUAAAAUGUAAACAUAAUGUAAUUAUAACUAUUUAAGUAGAAGGAGAUAGAAGAAGAUAGAUUAAGAAAUGAGAGAAUCCUACUUAGAAGGAGAUUGCUUGGGAUCGGUGGAUUUCAUUUUCUCACACAAGUUUGCCCAGACCAAACGAAACCGGGUGUUUGGAGACAGGGAUAAGGGGCAUGCAGCCUCGACUUUCAGUUAGUGGAUUCCACAUUGUUUGGAUGUAGGGUUAGGAUAUUCUUUGUACAUAUGCUGUUAGGUAUUCGGCCUUUUCUUUUUCUUUCUUAUUUUGUUUUUGUUUGGGCACAAAAUUUGAGGAGUGUACAAAAACCAAAACCCUUCGAGGGUUCACGAAAAGCUCUUAUCCAAUCAUGAUUUGACAUGUCAGUGCAGUGGGACUGCCCCGCCCUGCCCUCUUCAGUCAUGUAUUUUAUCCUCUAAUGAC
This 839-nucleotide long non-coding RNA is filed under the name Malus domestica (apple). RNAcentral's name for it is "long non-coding RNA (MDOM_LNC012113)". The record is from RNAcentral. Lineage: Eukaryota; Viridiplantae; Streptophyta; Magnoliopsida; Rosales; Rosaceae.